GACCAUAGCUUGGUGGUAAAGCACGUGUCUUGCAUGGGAAAUGUUCCAGGUUCAAUUCCUGGCAUCUCCA
Non-coding RNA from Podarcis lilfordi (Lilford's wall lizard), 70 nucleotides. NCBI's taxonomy places the organism in Eukaryota, Metazoa, Chordata, Lepidosauria, Squamata, Lacertidae. The record is from the annotation of a GenBank genome assembly.